Molecule: ribosomal RNA, 220 nt
Filed under: uncultured bacterium
Lineage: Bacteria
Description: partial 16S ribosomal RNA
Rfam family: Bacterial small subunit ribosomal RNA
Source: RNAcentral
GAUCCUGGCUCAGGAUGAACGCUGGCGGCGUGCUUAACACAUGCAAGUCGAGCGAAGCGCUUAUGAUGAUUCUUCGGAUGAAUCAUUUGUGACUGAGCGGCGGACGGGUGAGUAACGCGUGAGUAACCUGCCUCAUACAGGGGAAUAACAGUUAGAAAUGACUGCUAAUGCCGCAUAAGCGCACAGGGCCGCAUGGCCCGGUGUGAAAAACUCCGGUGGU